AGUAUCCCAAUGUGUGGUAGUAGCUAGUCUUGGAUCACAUACACGGAACUUAGUUCCUAAGAGCGGUUUCAAUGAGACAACCCGCCAUGUACUCCUACACAAGCUCUCAUCGAUGCCUUUACCAAAUCAGGUUCAUCAUUUAACUUUUAUCACCAGAACACAUUCAUUCACUCCAGUUCAUCAUCCACAUAAAUCAGGCCUGACACAACUCUAAGCAUAGCAAGCAUAGCAGGGUAAGGCACACCAUGGCUCAAGCAUCUACCAGGUAUGCAAGGUUGUUUGGUUUAGCUAUUUACUGUGACAAUGGCAGGUCAUGGAGAGGAAUGGGUUCAACUACCGAAACAAGUAGCAUUUGAAACAUUGUGUCCUAAUGCAAUAAAUGAGAGCACGAGCGAGAACAUGGGAUUUUAUUGGAACGUUCAAAAGGGGUGCUUGCCUUGAUGAUCAACAUUGGGAAGUUCUCCUUCAUUCUGAUACUCGUAAGUAUCAUGCGGAGCAGAGCCUACUGCAAUGCAAACAAAAAAACAAUCAAUACACGGCAAGUGCAACAAUAUGAUGCAUGAUCAUGACAUGACAAGAAUAUGUUGAAUGAGCUAAUGCACCUAUCAACAGAUUGUUGAAGUUGGUCUGAAUCAAAGAUUCAAAUUCCACUUCAAAUAAGGUAUUUUCAAAUACCCAUUAAUUGAUUUGACCUGAUGAGCAGGUAUAACUUGUUAUAUCAUGCAUGAUAAUAUCACCAAUGGAUUCCUUGGAUUUUUCAGAUAAUUUUUCAUAUAUAUUUAUUUCAGUCUGAGUUACACAUUAUUUUCUAUGAUUUUUCAAAGUUUUAAACAAUUUUGGAAUUAUAUUAAAUCAGAAUUGUCUUUAUUGCAUCAGCCUUGCGUCAACAGGUCAACUGUUCGUUGCAAGAUCAAACCUAACUAAUGGGGGUCCACUGGUGAGUGACCCACACACUAAACAGAGUUAAAAUUAACUUUAAACCAAAUUAGUGGGGGUUGGGCCCACUCGGAGUGGUCAUUAGGUUAAUUAAAUUAUUUAGUAGAAUUAGUACCUAACCCAAAAUUAACCAGGGGAUGGGCCCCACAUGUCGGUGACCCACGGGAGUCAACCCCGUGGUCAAAACGGUCGGGCUCGCCGACGUUGAGUCGCCGGCGGAUAGAGACACGACGGAAGGAGUUGGAAACCCACCUGUGGUGACCAUUUGGCCGGCGGAUAGCACCUUCGAGACGAGCACACGCGCGCGCAUCCAACGGAACACAUCCCACGGGCUGAGGUGGCCCGGAACGUCGGCGGCGACGACCUUGGCGAACGCCAGAAUUCGGGCGCCGAUCAAAUCGACGCCACAACUAGCUAGGGGAGAAACCAACGGCACCUACGGGCUCCUCGAGUCCUCGUGAGCACGCCUACGUGCUCAUGUUCGAGCCUAUGCAGCCGUGGCUACGACAACACCAUCGCCGGCAGCGAGGAGCUUUCGGGCUCGAGCAAAACGGGGCUACGGCUAGAGAUCGACUGCGAGGAAAGGUGGAAAAGGUUCGCAAGCUCACAGUGGUUGCAGCAGUGUCGGAGGUGAGCUCGGGAACAGCUUGGUGAUGGCAAAUCGACGCGGCGAGCUUCGUUGACCCGAGGUGGAAGACGACCGCGGAACGGUGAUGGAGGGCUUCCGGC
This 1665-nucleotide long non-coding RNA is filed under the name Hordeum vulgare. Its description in RNAcentral is "long non-coding RNA (HVUL_LNC007283)". The record is from RNAcentral. Lineage: Eukaryota; Viridiplantae; Streptophyta; Magnoliopsida; Poales; Poaceae.